Molecule: ribosomal RNA, 253 nt
Filed under: uncultured bacterium
Lineage: Bacteria
Description: partial 16S ribosomal RNA
Rfam family: Bacterial small subunit ribosomal RNA
Source: RNAcentral
UACGAAGGGAGCUAGCGUUGUUCGGAAUCACUGGGCGUAAAGCGCACGUAGGCGGAUGUGUCAGUCAGGGGUGAAAUCCCGGAGCUCAACUUCGGAACUGCCUUUGAUACAGCACGUCUUGAGUCCGAUAGAGGUGGGUGGAAUUCCUAGUGUAGAGGUGAAAUUCGUAGAUAUUAGGAAGAACACCGGUGGCGAAGGCGGCCCACUGGAUCGGUACUGACGCUGAGGUGCGAAAGCUAGGGGAGCAAACGGG